CCCAGAUGAACCAUUGCUGCCCUUGCCUUGGCUGUGCUAAUGGUGACCCUGAAGGAGAAGCCACAAAUUACAAACCUCACUAUCAUACUGUAUAACAAUCCCCAAGGAAUCUACGUGCCCCAGCAAGUGUCUAAGGUGUCCUUAGCUCUAGAAGGUUUGAGAAGGAGUCUCCUUAUGGAUAUACAGCAGUGCUGCCACUGCCCUGAGUUCCAGCACUGAGUGAAGGCUGGCAUGGGCUGCUGCUCUGCUACAGGAAAGUUCCUGCUGGGAUAUUUCAGCCUCAGUUGGAAAGGCACACCUGUCUUUAUUUCCUGGGGCCAGCACUGGUUCAGCCACCAGAGGACACACAGGGAAGCAGCUGCAUGGAGGAUAACUCCACUUGGAUGGAUGUUUUCCUCCUCCCAGCCUCUGCAGGUGGAGCACAGGGGAAGAAGCAGCAUGUGCAGGCAGAGAGGGGCUACUUCAUGGUCUGGUUUCAUACAUGUGGCUUCCUUCAUCUACAAUCCCAGACAGGCAGGAUUUGUGCUGCUUCUUUAUUCUGAUGACAGCUGCUCUUCCUUUGCACUUGCCCACCAAGUGAUUAAGAACCUUUUAUCGCCAAAAAUGGUGUUAUUGUCACGAAUAAGUGGAAUAACGUAAAGCAAUUAAUUGUGCUGAAACCCACACUCUGAAAUGUCUGAAGUGAUUAAACGUGUUUUUAUGAUGAAAUUUUCAAAAUAUUCAAAAUAUUUUCAAUACCAUGCAAGCUGAUUUUGAGGAGUGGGG
This 765-nucleotide long non-coding RNA is filed under the name Cyanistes caeruleus (blue tit). RNAcentral describes it as "lncRNA (ENSCCEG00000000304.1)". Lineage: Eukaryota; Metazoa; Chordata; Aves; Passeriformes; Paridae. The record is from RNAcentral.